CCCUACGGGGUGCAGCAGGCGCGAAAACUUUACAAUGCGGGAAACCGUGAUAAGGGAACUCCGAGUGUCCGUAAAUGCGGACUGUCCGUAUGUUUAAAAAGCAUGCGAAGAAAGGGCCGGGCAAGACCGGUGCCAGCCGCCGCGGUAAUACCGGCGGCUCGAGUGGUGGCCACUAUUACUGGGCUUAAAGCGUUCGUAGCUGGGUUGUUAAGUUUCUUGGGAAAUCUACCGGCUUAACCGAUAGGCGUCCAAGGGAUACUGGCAAUCUAGGGACCGAGAGAGGUGAGGGGUACUUCAGGGGUAGGAGUGAAAUCCUGUAAUCC
This 323-nucleotide ribosomal RNA is filed under the name uncultured methanogenic archaeon. RNAcentral describes it as "bacterial SSU rRNA". It matches the Rfam family "Archaeal small subunit ribosomal RNA", at positions 321 to 648 of the family's 1478-position model. Lineage: Archaea; Methanobacteriati; Methanobacteriota. The record is from RNAcentral.